This 166-nucleotide long non-coding RNA is filed under the name Pongo abelii (Sumatran orangutan). Its description in RNAcentral is "lincRNA". Lineage: Eukaryota; Metazoa; Chordata; Mammalia; Primates; Hominidae. The record is from RNAcentral.
CCCCAAGCUGGGCCAACUCUGGGUGCAGUGUUGGGAGCAGUCCUGCAGCUCUGAGAUCCACUAGUUGGAGGUGGGAGAAGUGCCAGAUUCCACUGAUUUGGAACCUGCCCAGUCUGAUUCCGGAGCCGUGACUUGCAGCACAUUGGCUACCAGAAGACGCCCAAAG